Molecule: ribosomal RNA, 534 nt
Filed under: Dyella sp.
Lineage: Bacteria; Pseudomonadati; Pseudomonadota; Gammaproteobacteria; Lysobacterales; Rhodanobacteraceae
Description: bacterial SSU rRNA
Rfam family: Bacterial small subunit ribosomal RNA
Source: RNAcentral
UCAGCAAUGACCUCGCGCGGUUGGAUGGACCGAUGUUCGAUUAGCUUGUUGGUGGGGUAAUGGCCUACCAAGGCGACGAUCGAUAGCUGGUCUGAGAGGAUGAUCAGCCACACUGGGACUGAGACACGGCCCAGACUCCUACGGGAGGCAGCAGUGGGGAAUAUUGGACAAUGGGCGCAAGCCUGAUCCAGCAAUGCCGCGUGUGUGAAGAAGGCCUUCGGGUUGUAAAGCACUUUUAUCAGGAGCGAAAUACCACGGGUUAAUACCCUAUGGGGCUGACGGUACCUGAGGAAUAAGCACCGGCUAACUUCGUGCCAGCAGCCGCGGUAAUACGAAGGGUGCAAGCGUUAAUCGGAAUUACUGGGCGUAAAGCGUGCGUAGGUGGUUUUUUAAGUCUGCUGUGAAAUCCCCGGGCUCAACCUGGGAAUGGCAGUGGAUACUGGAAAGCUAGAGUGUGAGAGAGGAUGGUGGAAUUCCCGGUGUAGCGGUGAAAUGCGUAGAGAUCGGGAGGAACAUCAGUGGCGAAGGCGGCCA